UGGGGAAUAUUGCACAAUGGAGGGAACUCUGAUGCAGCGACGCCGCGUGAACGAAGAAGGCUUUCGAGUCGUAAAGUUCUUUUAUAUGGGAAGAUAAUGACGGUACCAUAAGAAAAAGCCCCGGCUAACUACGUGCCAGCAGCCGCGGUAAUACGUAGGGGGCUAGCGUUGUCCGGAAUCACUGGGCGUAAAGGGUUCGCAGGCGGAAAUGCAAGUCAGGUGUAAAAGGCAGUAGCUUAACUACUGUAAGCAUUUGAAACUGCAUAUCUUGAGAAGAGUAGAGGUAAGUGGAAUUUUUAGUGUAGCGGUGAAAUGCGUAGAUAUUAAAAAGAAUACCGGUGGCAAAGGCGGCUUACUGGGCUCAUUCUGACGCUGAGGAACGAAAGCGUGGGUAGCAAACAGG
Molecule: ribosomal RNA, 403 nt
Filed under: bacterium
Lineage: Bacteria
Description: partial 16S ribosomal RNA
Rfam family: Bacterial small subunit ribosomal RNA
Source: RNAcentral